RNAcentral lists this transfer RNA (72 nucleotides) under Sphaerodactylus townsendi. Its description in RNAcentral is "tRNA-Ala". It matches the Rfam family "tRNA". From Rfam's summary of the family: Transfer RNA (tRNA) molecules are approximately 80 nucleotides in length. Their secondary structure includes four short double-helical elements and three loops (D, anti-codon, and T loops). Further hydrogen bonds mediate the characteristic L-shaped molecular structure. tRNAs have two regions of fundamental functional importance: the anti-codon, which is responsible for specific mRNA codon recognition, and the 3' end, to which the tRNAs corresponding amino acid is attached (by aminoacyl-tRNA synthetases). tRNAs cope with the degeneracy of the genetic code in two manners: having more than one tRNA (with a specific anti-codon) for a particular amino acid; and 'wobble' base-pairing, i.e. permitting non-standard base-pairing at the 3rd anti-codon position. The record is from RNAcentral. Lineage: Eukaryota; Metazoa; Chordata; Lepidosauria; Squamata; Sphaerodactylidae.
GGGGCGGUGGCUCAGUGGUAGAGCAUCUGCCUGGCAUGUGGAAGGUCCCAGGUUCAAGCCCCGAUAACCCCA